RNAcentral lists this ribosomal RNA (492 nucleotides) under uncultured bacterium. Its description in RNAcentral is "partial 16S ribosomal RNA". It matches the Rfam family "Bacterial small subunit ribosomal RNA", at positions 29 to 507 of the family's 1533-position model. The record is from RNAcentral.
AUUGAACGCUGGCGGCAUGCUUUACACAUGCAAGUCGAGCGGUAACAGGCCUUCGGGUGCUGACGAGUGGCGAACGGGUGAGUAAUGCAUCGGAACGUACCUAGAGGUGGGGGAUAACGCAGCGAAAGCUGUGCUAAUACCGCAUGUGAUCUGAGGAUGAAAGCGGGGGACCGAGCAGCAAUGUUUGGCCUCGCGCCUUUGGAGCGGCCGAUGUCGGAUUAGCUAGUUGGUGGGGUAAAGGCCUACCAAGGCGACGAUCCGUAGCUGGUCUGAGAGGACGACCAGCCACACUGGGACUGAGACACGGCCCAGACUCCUACGGGAGGCAGCAGUGGGGAAUUUUGGACAAUGGGCGCAAGCCUGAUCCAGCAAUGCCGCGUGCGGGAAGAAGGCCUUCGGGUUGUAAACCGCUUUUGGCAGGAACGAAACGGUGUCCGCUAAUACCGGGCGCUAAUGACGGUACCUGCAGAAUAAGCACCGGCUAACUACGUG